Molecule: ribosomal RNA, 759 nt
Filed under: Triticum aestivum (bread wheat)
Lineage: Eukaryota; Viridiplantae; Streptophyta; Magnoliopsida; Poales; Poaceae
Description: partial small subunit ribosomal RNA
Source: RNAcentral
GAAAAGGAAGGAGGAGCCCAGCGGCAGCAGUCCAGGCUCAAAGCGUUCCAAGACGCCCUGGCAGACUGCUCGUUAGAGGAUAUUGGAUACCAUGGUGACAAAUUUACCUUCUUUAGAGGAGGAUUGCGAGAAAGAUUGGAUCGAGCAGUUUCAAAUCCGGGAUGGAUGGAGAUGCACCCAUUGUGUGGUCUUGUAAACCUGGAUAUGGGUAAGUCGGAUCACAGACCUAUCUGUUUGGAUACUGAAUAUCUGACGGGUGUCGCAGGCCCACGGCGUCGAUCAGGAAGGAAAUUUGAGGCAAGAUGGCUAGAAGAAGAGUUGGUGGAGGAAGUAGUGCGAACGGCAUGGCAAAAGGCAGUCGUUAGGGGGCUUUGUCCCUCGGCUAGUGAGAAACUAGCAGCAGUACAUAAAGAUCUUCAUCAAUGGGACAGGAAAAUUCUGAAGGGCCCUCGAGCCAGACUGAAAACAACGCAGCAGGAAUUAGAGGCACUGAUGAGAGAGCCAUAUGAUGCUGAGGCACAUGUAAAACAGCAGGAUUUGACGCUCAAAAUUGAAAAUCUCUUAGAGCAAGAGGAGAUUUACUGGGCCCAACGGGGACAUGCAAAGUGGCUUCGUCGCGGUGACCGUAACACCAAAUUUUUUCAUCAGUUUGCUUCGGCCCCUCGGCAUCGUAACUUGAUCAAGAGAUUGAAAGAUAAUAAUAAUGCAUGGGUUGAGGGGAAUGAUAACCUCAAGCCCCUGAUCUUUGAUUACUUCUAG